RNAcentral lists this ribosomal RNA (457 nucleotides) under uncultured bacterium. RNAcentral describes it as "bacterial SSU rRNA". It matches the Rfam family "Bacterial small subunit ribosomal RNA", at positions 340 to 786 of the family's 1533-position model. The record is from RNAcentral.
UACGGGAGGCAGCAGUGGGGAAUAUUGCACAAUGGGCGCAAGCCUGAUGCAGCCAUGCCGCGUGUAUGAAAAAGGCCUUCGGGUUGUAAAGUACUUUCAGUCGUGAGGAAGGUGUUAAGGUUAAUAACCUUAGCAAUUGACGUUAGCGACAGAAGAAGCACCGGCUAACUCCGUGCCAGCAGCCGCGGUAAUACGGAGGGUGCGAGCGUUAAUCGGAAUUACUGGGCGUAAAGGGCACGCAGGCGGUUAAUUAAGUUGGAUGUGAAAUCCCCGGGCUUAACCUGGGAAUGGCAUUCAAGACUGGUUAGCUAGAGUCUUGUAGAGGGGGUAGAAUUCCAUGUGUAGCGGUGAAAUGCGUAGAGAUGUGGAGGAAAUACCGGUGGGCGAAAGGCGGCCCCUGGGACAAAGACUGACGCUCAUGUGCGAAAGCGUGGGGAGCAAACAGGGAUUAGAUACC